GACGUAGGGCGCGAGCGUUGUCCGGAUUCAUUGGGCGUAAAGGGUGCGUAGGCGGCGGGGCAAGUCUGAUGUGAAAUCCCGGGGCUCAACCCCGGAACUGCAUUGGAUACUGCCUUGCUAGAGUACUGGAGAGGGAACUGGAAUUUACGGUGUAGCAGUGAAAUGCGUAGAGAUCGUAAGGAAGGCCAGUGGCGAAGGCGAGUUCCUGGACAGUUACUGACGCUGAGGCACGAAGGCCAGGGGAGCAAACGGG
RNAcentral lists this ribosomal RNA (253 nucleotides) under uncultured bacterium. RNAcentral's name for it is "partial 16S ribosomal RNA". It matches the Rfam family "Bacterial small subunit ribosomal RNA", at positions 524 to 776 of the family's 1533-position model. The record is from RNAcentral.